This 653-nucleotide ribosomal RNA is filed under the name uncultured archaeon. Its description in RNAcentral is "bacterial SSU rRNA". It matches the Rfam family "Archaeal small subunit ribosomal RNA", at positions 156 to 809 of the family's 1478-position model. The record is from RNAcentral.
AGGCCUGAGGUACUGGAAGGUCCUCAGGCCGAAAGGGGCUCUGCCCGCCCGAGGAUGGGCCGGCGGCCGAUUAGGUAGUUGGUGGGGUAACGGCCCACCAAGCCGAAGAUCGGUACGGGCCAUGAGAGUGGGAGCCCGGAGAUGGACACUGAGACACGGGUCCAGGCCCUACGGGGCGCAGCGGGCGCGAAACCUCCGCAAUGCGGGCAACCGCGACGGGGGGACCCCCAGUGCCGUGGCAACGCCACGGCUUUUCCGGAGUGUAAAAAGCUCCGGGAAUAAGGGCUGGGCAAGGCCGGUGGCAGCCGCCGCGGUAAUACCGGCGGCCCGAGUGGUGGCCGCUAUUAUUGGGCCUAAAGCGUCCGUAGCCGGGCCCGUAAGUCCCUGGCGAAAUCCCACGGCUCAACCGUGGGGCUUGCUGGGGAUACUGCGGGCCUUGGGACCGGGAGAGGCCGGGGGUACCCCUGGGGUAGGGGUGAAAUCCUAUAAUCCCAGGGGGACCGCCAGUGGCGAAGGCGCCCGGCUGGAACGGGUCCGACGGUGAGGGACGAAGGCCAGGGGAGCGAACCGGAUUAGAUACCCGGGUAGUCCUGGCUGUAAAGGAUGCGGGCUAGGUGUCGGGCGAGCUUCGAGCUCGCCCGGUGCCGAAGGGA